This 1206-nucleotide ribosomal RNA is filed under the name alkali sediment metagenome. RNAcentral's name for it is "bacterial LSU rRNA". It matches the Rfam family "Bacterial large subunit ribosomal RNA", at positions 740 to 2014 of the family's 2925-position model. The record is from RNAcentral.
GCAGGUUGAAGGUUAGGUAAAACUAACUGGAGGACCGAACCCGUUAACGUUGAAAAGUUCUGGGAUGACCUGUGGAUAGGGGUGAAAGGCCAAUCAAACUGAGAGAUAGCUCGUUCUCCCCGAAAUGUUUUUAGGAACAGCCUCGGAUAUAGAAGUCUGUUAGAGGUAGAGCUACUGAUUGGGCUAGGGGGCUUCACCGCCUACCAAACCCUGACAAACUCCGAAUGCUAACAGAUAUCUCCGGGAGUGAGGCUACGGGUGCUAAGAUCCGUGGCCGAGAGGGAAAUAACCCAGAAUAGCAGCUAAGGUCCCUAAUAAGUAGUUAAGUUGAUCAAACGAGGUAGGACUUCUAUAACAGCCAGGAUGUUUGCUUGGAAGCAGCAAUUCAUUUAAAGAGUGCGUAACAGCUCACUGGUCGAGAAGUCCCGCACGGAAAAUAAUCGGGCAUCAAACUACGAACCGAAGUUCUAAGAUCUCCACUUUGUGGAUGAUCGGUAGGGGAGCAUUCUGAUCCGCUGCGAAGGUGUUCGGCGACGGAUGCUGGAGCGGUUUCAAAAGAAAAUGUAGGCAUAAGUAACGAUAAACAAGGUGAAAAACCUUGUCGCCGAAAGUCUAAGGGUUCCUGAUCAACGUUAAUCGGAUCAGGGUUAGCCCGGUCCUUAGUCAAACCCGAAAGGGGUAGAUGAUGGAAAGCAGGUUAAUAUUCCUGCGCUUGCUAUACAAUGAAAGUGACGGAGAGCCGUGGUCGCUGCGUACUGACGGAUAUGUACGCCUGAGUGGAGGCUUCGGCCAAAGCGAAACGAUAAAAGCUCUUCCAAGAAAAGCGAGUAUAGCAACCGGUACCGCAAACCGACACAGGUAGACGGGAUGAAUAUUCUAAGGCGCUCGGGUGAGCCGUGGAGAAGGAACUAGGCAAAUUGACGCUGUAACUUCGGGAUAAAGCGGACCCCGACGCAAGUCGGGGUCUCAGUAAAUUGGUUCAACCAACUGUUUAACAAAAACACAGGGCCCUGCAAAAUCGAAAGAUGACGUAUAGAGCCUGAUACCUGCCCGGUGCUGGAAGGUUAAGGAAGGAUGUUCGGGGGCAACCCCAAAGCUUCUGACUGAAGCCCCAGUAAACGGCGGCCGUAACUAUAACGGUCCUAAGGUAGCGAAAUUCCUUGUCGGGUAAGUUCCGACCUGCACGAAUGGUCUAAUGAGUUGAAC